AAUGGUAUUUAUAAUAUAAGAUCCUUUAUAUAUUAUUGUACACCUAUUUAUAAAACUAGGCUGGAAUACUAUCAAUAGCACCAAGUUAUUAGUGCUGUUGAAUUUUUAGCCCUUGGAUUGAGAAAUAUGCGGUUAGGAUGAUGUGGGCCCUCUAAGGUUGAGUGGGUGGUUGGUUGAAUAGUAUAAUCUAACGGGUAAAAAUAAUCAAAGGGAUUAAUCUAACGGCAGGAAACUUGAUAGCACCAAGUGUUUGGUGUUAUCGAUAGCAUAGCAGCCGAACUCCCUAUUUAUAUAUACUUCUAUUCGUGUAGAAUUUAUUUAAAAUUUG
RNAcentral lists this long non-coding RNA (328 nucleotides) under Ananas comosus (pineapple). RNAcentral's name for it is "long non-coding RNA (ACOM_LNC042738)". Lineage: Eukaryota; Viridiplantae; Streptophyta; Magnoliopsida; Poales; Bromeliaceae. The record is from RNAcentral.